Molecule: transfer RNA, 72 nt
Filed under: Marmota monax (woodchuck)
Lineage: Eukaryota; Metazoa; Chordata; Mammalia; Rodentia; Sciuridae
Description: tRNA.Ala
Source: RNAcentral
GGGGUUGUAACUCAGUGGUAGAGUACUUGCCUGGCACAUGUAAGGCACUUGGGUUUGAUCCUCAGCACCACA